RNAcentral lists this ribosomal RNA (273 nucleotides) under uncultured bacterium. RNAcentral's name for it is "partial 16S ribosomal RNA". It matches the Rfam family "Bacterial small subunit ribosomal RNA", at positions 335 to 600 of the family's 1533-position model. The record is from RNAcentral.
ACUCCUACGGGAGGCAGCAGUGGGAAUAUUGGACAAUGGGGACCGUAGCAUCCAGCCAUGCCGCGCUGUGUGAAGAAGGCCUUAUGGUUGUAAAGCACUUUAAGCGAGGAGGAGGCUACUGAGACUAAUACUCUUGGAUAGUGGACGUUACUCGCAGAAUAAGCACCGGCUAACUCUGUGCCAGCAGCCGCGGUAAUACAGAGGGUGCGAGCGUUAAUCGGAUUUACUGGGCGUAAAGCGCGCGUAGGCGGCUUCGUCAGUCAGAUGUGAAAG